GGAUAUGAGAGUGAUCUGGCUGCAACAUGUCACCCCAUUGAUCGCCAGGGUUGAUUCAGCUGAUCUGGCUGUGUAGGCGGGUGUCCCCUUCCUCCCUCACCACUGCAAGUGCGUCCCUCCCGAAACUGUGCACUUGGUAGAAGAGGGAUUGCCUUCCCAAAAAGCAAGGUGUUCCUAUGGCAUG
This 184-nucleotide small nuclear RNA is filed under the name Erinaceus europaeus (western European hedgehog). RNAcentral's name for it is "7SK RNA". It matches the Rfam family "7SK RNA", at positions 1 to 188 of the family's 331-position model. From Rfam's summary of the family: 7SK was discovered as an abundant small nuclear RNA in the mid-70s but a possible function has only recently been suggested. Two independent studies have found that 7SK RNA binds the CDK9/cyclin T complex (known as elongation factor P-TEFb). Lineage: Eukaryota; Metazoa; Chordata; Mammalia; Eulipotyphla; Erinaceidae. The record is from Rfam by way of RNAcentral.